AGAAAAUCAUUCAAGUGUUGCAGUCCCACAUAUUGGAAAGCUUAAUUACAGCAUGGACGGAGAAGAGCCAAAGCAGCUAGAAGGGAGGACGCGUCUCCUCAUUCUCCACAGACAGAAUCUGUCCAAGAACCCAGGCAGGUCGUCACAUCUGUCUGUCUGCCAGAAGCUACGUUCAUUACACAACCGAGAGCCACCCUGGGGGAAGCCUCACACAGGCUCAUUUCCAACCCUUGUACUUGCUCAGCCUCAUUUCAGAACCCAGCAGAUCAUCUCAAAAUCUCCCUCAGUGCCCCGAAAAUAUGCAUACAAUUCAGUCACAGUAGACAUCAAGUCACAGCAAGACAUAGCUCACAUUGGGAUCCUACACCUGCGGGAAACACUUCCAUAUUGAAAUAAGCCCCAGAAUCAGAUCAGCCAGAAGUCUCAAGAAAAAAAGACUCAUCAUGUAUGGACAGAUAGAAAAAUGGCAGCUGUGAUGAACGUAUUGUAUGACAAGAGAACUGGCUUUGUUUUUGAAUCAGAAGAGAGAUCCCAUCAUUCCCAAGACACCUACAGCAUCAGAGACUACACACCAUAAAGUAUUCACUUUACUUCCAUUUUUCUCCUUCAGUGUACGUGAUCUGGCUUGCUUUAUUGUUUUGCAUAUUGAAUGUCUUGGUGCUAGAACAAAUUUCACCCUCUCUUAAUGUACUCAUGAUGAUGUUACUGUAUGUCCAUGUUCUUCUUGUUGCAAAUGAAGAACUGAACAAAAUGUGGAAAUGCAGCACCAAAAGUAAAAACAAAGAUUUGUUAAAAGGGAAAGUAAGACAUUCACCCAACAGCAGGAAUGGAACCAAGUAAGCAGGUGGCACUUGAGUCCGCUCAUUUCAGAUCCAGGAGCUUUAAAUUGUAAGGGAGGGGAGAGGUGUUCCCUGAGC
This is a long non-coding RNA of Rattus norvegicus (Norway rat), 917 nucleotides long. Lineage: Eukaryota; Metazoa; Chordata; Mammalia; Rodentia; Muridae. The record is from Ensembl.